This 221-nucleotide long non-coding RNA is filed under the name Canis lupus familiaris (dog). Its description in RNAcentral is "lncRNA (ENSCAFG00030000183.1)". Lineage: Eukaryota; Metazoa; Chordata; Mammalia; Carnivora; Canidae. The record is from RNAcentral.
UAUGAGAAGUGGGGGAGGGCGGCUCCUUUCACUCCACCCCCUUCCCUGUCUCUGACCUGCCACCCUUCUCUUCUCCAGCUCGUGGGAAAUUCCUGUACAAAAGUUACAAGUGAGAUGACUUACUUCGUGUGUUUAAAAGGAUGAUCCGUUACAAAAUGUAGACAACCAGCCAGAGACCACGGUGCUCACAGUCGUCACAGCAGAGAUCACAGUAACCACCG